GACGAACGCUGGCGGCGUGCUUAACACAUGCAAGUCGAACGGAAAGGCCUGCUUUCCCUUGUGGAUUGCGGGUACUCGAGUGGCGAACGGGCGAGUAACACGUGAGUGAUCUGCCCCCAACUUGGGUAUAAGCCUGGGAAACUGGGUCUAAUUCCCGAUAGGACUGCAGGGUGGUGCCUGUGGUGGAAAACGAUUUUCUAGUGGUUGGGGAUGAGCUCGCGGCCUAUCAGCUUGUUGGUGGGGUAAUGGCCUACCAAGGCGGCGACGGGUAGCCGGCCUGAGAGGGUGGACGGCCACAUUGGGACUGAGAUACGGCCCAGACUCCUACGGGAGGCAGCAGUGGGGAAUAUUGCACAAUGGGCGGAAGCCUGAUGCAGCGACGCCGCGUGGGGAUGACGGCCUUCGGGUUGUAAACUCCUUUCGACCGCGAGGAAGCCACCUGGUUGGAAGGGUGGUGACGGUAGUGGUAGAAGAAGCACCGGCUAACUACGUG
This 493-nucleotide ribosomal RNA is filed under the name uncultured bacterium. Its description in RNAcentral is "partial 16S ribosomal RNA". It matches the Rfam family "Bacterial small subunit ribosomal RNA", at positions 28 to 507 of the family's 1533-position model. The record is from RNAcentral.